GUCAGGGUGGCCGAGCGGUCUAAGGCGCUGCGUUAAGGUCGCAGUCUCCCCUGGAGGCGUGGGUUCGAAUCUCACUCCUGACA
This 83-nucleotide transfer RNA is filed under the name Chelonia mydas (Green sea turtle). It matches the Rfam family "tRNA". Rfam says of the family: Transfer RNA (tRNA) molecules are approximately 80 nucleotides in length. Their secondary structure includes four short double-helical elements and three loops (D, anti-codon, and T loops). Further hydrogen bonds mediate the characteristic L-shaped molecular structure. tRNAs have two regions of fundamental functional importance: the anti-codon, which is responsible for specific mRNA codon recognition, and the 3' end, to which the tRNAs corresponding amino acid is attached (by aminoacyl-tRNA synthetases). tRNAs cope with the degeneracy of the genetic code in two manners: having more than one tRNA (with a specific anti-codon) for a particular amino acid; and 'wobble' base-pairing, i.e. permitting non-standard base-pairing at the 3rd anti-codon position. Lineage: Eukaryota; Metazoa; Chordata; Testudines; Cheloniidae. The record is from Rfam by way of RNAcentral.